CCUUAGUAACAAAUACUAUUUUCCCUGUGUACGUAAUCUAUCUUCUUCUCCCUGUAAAAAGCUUUGAUUGUUGGUGUAUAAAAUGUUUAUUACUUUAUCUCUUCUCUUUCGUUUGCGGUCGCUACUUCACAUGCGUCUACUCGAGUUCAUCUUUUCUCUCCCAGCGGCAGCACCAACUUGGCAACCACUAUUCUCUUCCUAUGCUACCAAAUAGGUAGUCAAGACCAGCGGUAGAACAAAAAUUGACAGAAACCAGCAUAGUUCUUCAAUCUUCAUAUAUCUGUGUUUAAGGUACUUGAAGACAAACCCACAAAUACUUAUAAGGAUGAAGCCACACCACUCAAGUCCGCGAG
Non-coding RNA from Camelina sativa (false flax), 353 nucleotides. The record is from RefSeq and is a predicted model, not a curated record. Lineage: Eukaryota; Viridiplantae; Streptophyta; Magnoliopsida; Brassicales; Brassicaceae.